RNAcentral lists this microRNA precursor (66 nucleotides) under Bos taurus (domestic cattle). RNAcentral describes it as "microRNA bta-mir-12037 precursor". Lineage: Eukaryota; Metazoa; Chordata; Mammalia; Artiodactyla; Bovidae. The record is from miRBase by way of RNAcentral.
UGAAGAGAAAAUAGAAUUCCAUUGUUAUUAUUCAACCAAAAUCUUGCAUUCUGUCUUCUCUUUAGU